This 804-nucleotide ribosomal RNA is filed under the name Neovossia moliniae. Its description in RNAcentral is "LSU rRNA". It matches the Rfam family "Eukaryotic large subunit ribosomal RNA", at positions 39 to 835 of the family's 3401-position model. The record is from RNAcentral. Lineage: Eukaryota; Fungi; Basidiomycota; Exobasidiomycetes; Tilletiales; Tilletiaceae.
CAUAUCAAUAAGCGGAGGAGAAAAAACUAACAAGGAUUCCCCUAGUAACGGCGAGUGAAGCGGGAUGAGCUCAAAUUUGAAAGCUGGCACUUGUGUCCGCAUUGUAAUCUCGAGAAGUAGUUUCUGUGUUGGGCCAUGUACAAGUUCCUUGGAAUAGGACAUCAGAGAGGGUGAGAAUCCCGUACUUGACAUGGAUUCCAAUGCUUUGUGAUCUGCUCUCUAUGAGUCGAGUUGUUUGGGAAUGCAGCUCAAAAUGGGUGGUAAAUUCCAUCUAAAGCUAAAUAUUGGGGAGAGACCGAUAGCGAACAAGUACCGUGAGGGAAAGAUGAAAAGCACUUUGGAAAGAGAGUUAAACAGUACGUGAAAUUGUCAAAAGGGAAGCGCUUGAGGUUAGCUAUGCAUGCAGUAUUCAACCUUUCUUUUGAUGGGUGUAUUUGCUGUUUUGCAGGCCAGCAUCGGUUUUGUCUGCUGGAUAAUGAUAGAAGGAAUGUGGCAUCCUCGGAUGUGUUAUAGCCUUCUAUUUGAUACAGUGGAUGGGACCGAGGACCGCAGUGUGCCGUAAGGCAGGCUCUUCGGAGUACUUUCACACUUAGGAUGCUGGCGUAAUGGCCUUAAGCGGCCCGUCUUGAAACACGGACCAAGGAGUCUAACAUAUUUGCGAGUCUUUGGGUGGCAAACCCAUAGGCGCAAUGAAAGUGAAUGCAGGUGGGAUCCCCUCGGGGUGCACCAUCGACCGAUCCAGAAUUUUUAGGAAGGAUUUGAGUACGAGCACAUAUGUUGGGACCCGAAAGAUGGUGAACUAUG